Molecule: ribosomal RNA, 634 nt
Filed under: uncultured Bacteroidota bacterium
Lineage: Bacteria; Pseudomonadati; Bacteroidota
Description: bacterial SSU rRNA
Rfam family: Bacterial small subunit ribosomal RNA
Source: RNAcentral
UCGACGGCAGCACAGUGUAGCAAUACAUGGGUGGCGAGUGGCGCACGGGUGCGUAACACGUAUGCAAUUUGCCCAUAACUGGGGGAUAGCCCUCCGAAAGGAGGAUUAAUACCCCAUAACCCAGCGAGGUGGCAUCACCUUUCUGGUAAAUCUCCGGAGGUUAUGGAUGAGCAUGCGUCUGAUUAGCUAGUUGGUGAGGUAACGGCUCACCAAGGCAACGAUCAGUAGGGGGUCUGAGAGGAUGAUCCCCCACACGGGUACUGAGACACGGACCCGACUCCUACGGGAGGCAGCAGUAAGGAAUAUUGGACAAUGGAGGCAACUCUGAUCCAGCCAUGCCGCGUGAAGGAUGAAGGCCCUACGGGUUGUAAACUUCUUUUCUCUUAGAAAAAACUACUGGUUUCGUACCGGUACUGAUUGUACAAGAGGAAUAAGCAUCGGCUAACUUCGUGCCAGCAGCCGCGGUAAUACGAAGGAUGCAAGCGUUAUCCGGAUUCACUGGGUUUAAAGGGUGUGCAGGUGGGGUAAUAAGUCGGUGGUGAAAGCCCCCGACUCAAUCGGGGAACUGCCAUAGAUACUGUUAUUCUUGAGUGUGGUUGAGGCGGAUGGAGUAUGACAUGUAGCGGUGAAAUGC